RNAcentral lists this transfer-messenger RNA (357 nucleotides) under Akkermansiaceae bacterium. RNAcentral's name for it is "partial transfer-messenger RNA". It matches the Rfam family "transfer-messenger RNA". From Rfam's summary of the family: Bacterial tmRNA, also known as 10Sa RNA or SsrA, is named for its dual tRNA and mRNA-like properties. Its role is to liberate the mRNA from a stalled ribosome. Lineage: Bacteria; Pseudomonadati; Verrucomicrobiota; Verrucomicrobiia; Verrucomicrobiales; Akkermansiaceae. The record is from RNAcentral.
GGGGGCGUUCUGGUUUCGACGGAAUGUUUGAAGCGCUGGCUGCACGUAGAGGUUGGUCGGUUGGCCUCUUUAAAAAGCCGCCCAAAACAAAUAAAUGCAGACUCUAACGAGCUCGCACUUGCUGCUUAAUUGACAGCAUCGUCGAAUCCCUAAUGCCUGUUAGGGGAGGAGGCGCAAACUAGCAGGCUGGAUCGGAGAUCGGGUAACCGGGUCACCUUUCGAGAUUAAACAGGUCACUAGGAAGCGCAACGCGGUGGGUCGGCCCAGCGUUCCCGAAACACCAGAUGAUCCACUAAACGUGUAGAUGCCUUCGUUGAUGGCGUUCCGGACAGGGGUUCGACUCCCCUCGCCUCCACC